GACUCUGUUCCCUCUCUUCUCCGCGGACCGCUUGCCCUUUGAGAACAGCGAUGGAGAGGCUUCUCGUUGCGAUCCUGCUGUUUUCCGGCAUCAUAUGGUGACAAGCAAAUUCCUCGUUCCGAAGCUGGAGACCCAGUGAGACAUUCAACAGGGACUGUGUGGCAGCGAUGUUUGAUGGAUACUGGUAUUCCUCCGAUUGUAAUCAAUCUAAGAUCUUCUGUUGUGAAACUACAAUGAUUGGUCCUACACCUGAAAAAAAAGCGAAAUCUUCCAUCUUUAAACUCACACUGAGCCGUCACGGGAUCUCAUCGACCCUCAAAUGAAGGCGGACAUUUUAAAGAUGCUUAGUGAGAAGCUGGAGAAGAAGGGGAUAAAGAGAGACACGGUCAAGCUGACAUGGAGACAGCAGCCAGUAGGAGACGUUUUUCUGCUC
This is a long non-coding RNA of Gadus morhua (Atlantic cod), 433 nucleotides long. RefSeq lists it as uncharacterized. NCBI's taxonomy places the organism in Eukaryota, Metazoa, Chordata, Actinopteri, Gadiformes, Gadidae. The transcript has 4 exons. The record is from RefSeq and is a predicted model, not a curated record.